CGCAGCCGCGGUAAUUCCAGCUCCAAUAGCGUAUAUUAAAGUUGCUGCAGUUAAAAAGCUCGUAGUUGAAUUUCGGGACCAUCAUGUCGGUCGUGCCUCGGUACGUACUGGUAUUGUUGGUUUCUCCCUUCUGACGAGCCAUGAUGUCAUUUAUUUGGUGUUGUGGGGAAUCAGGACUGUUACUUUGAAAAAAUUAGAGUGUUUAAAGCAGGCUCACGCUUGAAUACAUUAGCAUGGAAUAAUGAAAUAGGACGUUUGAUUCUAUUUUGUUGGUUUCUAGGAUCGACGUAAUGAUUAAUAGGGAUAGUUGGGGGCAUUAGUAUUCAAUUGUCAGAGGUGAAAUUCUUGGACUUAUUGAAGACUAACUACUGCGAAAGCAUUUGCCAAGGAUGUUUUCAUUAAUCAAGAACGAAAGUUAGGGGAUCGAAGACGAUCAGAUACCGUCGUAGU
This 450-nucleotide ribosomal RNA is filed under the name uncultured Glomeromycotina. RNAcentral's name for it is "SSU rRNA". It matches the Rfam family "Eukaryotic small subunit ribosomal RNA", at positions 569 to 1024 of the family's 1831-position model. Lineage: Eukaryota; Fungi; Glomeromycota. The record is from RNAcentral.